Heterocephalus glaber (naked mole-rat) is the source of this 2090-nucleotide non-coding RNA. NCBI's taxonomy places the organism in Eukaryota, Metazoa, Chordata, Mammalia, Rodentia, Bathyergidae. The record is from RefSeq and is a predicted model, not a curated record.
GCCGCCGCCGCCCCGGAGCCUCACGGGCUCCCGAGGCUGUGGCCGCUGCCGUCGACGCCGGCGUCUUGGCUCUGGCGAGUGUAGCAGAGCAGCUGGGUCCUGGGCGGCCGGGAGGGGACUAGAGGAGCCUGACAACCGCUCUGGGGCGAGGGCGGCAGUAGCCCGCGCCAGGCGAUGCCGGGCAAGAGGCCCAGACGGCUGCGGCCGCAGUGCGCCGCGCGCGCAUGCGUGCUACUCUCCGCUCAGGCUGCACGGUCUAAACCGGCGCGCAGCAAGCUGUUCACACCCCUCCCUCCCUCGGCGCCCACCCUGGCGCGGACGCCUUCCCUCACUCUCAGUCGGUUGCGCUUCACGUCGCAUUCCAGCCUUUCCUUGCCCUUCCCGGCUCCAGAGCCUUGCAGGAUUUCUUAGCCUUGGGACCGCAUUCCAGAACGCACUUUUCAGCGCCUCUCUGUCGCCAGCCUCCUGCUUCUCUGUUCUUUUUUGCCCGAGGAGCAAGCAUCCCAGGAUGGGACGCUUCAUCGCCUGAUGGAACUUCAGCUGGACAGCUAUCCACAGGUCAUUGAACUGCGCGUUACUGUGGAACCCCGGUGGAAGAGCCCAUCCCUGGCACUUGCAGACUCCUCCAAGAGGGAGAAAGCAGGGCCGCGAAGCCCGGACACGACCUGGCUUCGUGAACCCAAGAAGACCUGUGUGUCCACCAGAUUUAGAAACUAAGACUCGAAGAACUUAUGCUGGGCAUGGCAGUGGAGGCUGAGGCAGGAGGAUCACCAUGAGUUCAAGGCUACAUAGUAAGUUCAAGGCCAGCCUGAACUACAUAGCAAGAAACUUGUCUCCAAAAAAAAAACCUUAGGACAUGGCCUAGAGUCAAGCAUCUUUUGUUGUUGUUGGAAUUGGAAUCAGAGGAAUUGGAUUUACAUUGUAUCUCUGCUUCUCAUGAACUGUGUUUACUGAAUAAGGACUUCAGAACUUAAGUUUGAUCAUCUGUAAAAUGGAGAUCUUUCCAAGUGUGUGAAAUUCAAAGUAGAUAAUACAUUUGAAACAAUUUUGUACAGCCAUGAAAUCUAAUGUGAGUGUAAGGUUUUACUGUUAUUAUAGCAUAGCGAUCACUUGAGUACCUAUUUUUCAUAGUGCAUGAUGCUAUAUAAAUCAUUGAACUUGAAGUCAUUGUCUUUUUUGGUACCGGGGAUCAAACUCGGGUCCUUGUGCUUGUGAGGCAGGCGGCGGAACCACUGAGCUAAAUACCCGGCCCUGAAGACCUUGUCUUUUCUCCCAGAGAUUGAGGUCUAGUUGAAAAGAUAAGACUGAUACAUUUAAAAUAAUAGCAUUCGACCAAAUAAAUAAAUAAAUAAAAUAAUAGCAUUUAUCACUAAGAAACCUCCUCCUAAGUCACCUCACUUCUUUCCAGUUCUGCUAUAAAAAAUGUGUUUACUCGAAAGCGUAAGGUCCCGAGUUCAAUCUCUUAAAAAAUGUGUUUAGAGCCUGGUAUGGUGAAUGGAUGUCUGUAAUCCUAGCACUCUGAGAGACUAGGGGAGGAAGAUCAUAAGUUUUAGCAACUUAGUGAAACUCUGUCUCAAAAUUAAAAAUAAAAAGUUUGGGGAUAUAGCUUAGUGCAAAGAUCCUGGGUUCAAUCCUUUGUAUAAAUAAAUAGAUAGGUAAAUAAUUAACUUGGUAUUUGACCCUGGUGGUUCCUGGCAGAGUACCUAAAGCCCUUAGAAUUUCCUGGAGUGGUAAGAUUACCUUUUGUUAUUCAUAACAAGUCCCUUUCAAUCAAAAUUUGAGCUAAGAAAUGACAAGAUAGAGUCCCUAGAUCACCUCAGAAUAGGCUGGUCACCAGAAAGAUGAAGUGAAUAGAAGACUAUACUUUUGUCUUACCCAUUAUUCUCAGAGGACAAGAAAGAGUACUGAACAUCAAACCCUUCAUCAGUGAGAUCCGCACUGGUGAGUAUCUCCACCUACAUCCAGGGACAUACUCCAAAAGUAAGGACAGAGAUGUCUAUGCUUGGGAUCCUUCUACAUCUCAUGCGAAGUCCUGCCUCAUCCAGCUAUUCAUUUGUAUUUUCAAUAAUAAAGUGGUAAAUAUAAGUAAA